Molecule: ribosomal RNA, 324 nt
Filed under: Allapsidae sp.
Lineage: Eukaryota; Cercozoa; Glissomonadida; Viridiraptoridae
Description: SSU rRNA
Rfam family: Eukaryotic small subunit ribosomal RNA (bases 111-324)
Source: RNAcentral
GAUUUCUGGCACGUAUUGUCCUGGCCCGCCACGGUUUCGUGUGUGAGUGCCGGGUUCGAUCUGCCAUCCUUCCAGAGAACUGUCCUACCCUUCACUGGGCCGGGGCAGCAAUCUGGAUCGUUUACUUUGAAAAAAUUAGAGUGUUUCAAGCAGGCGACUCGCUGUGAAUACAUUAGCAUGGAAUAAUAAUCUAGGACUUCGGUUCUAUUUUGUUGGUUUCUAUAACUGAAGUAAUGAUUGAUAGGGAUAGUUGGGGGUGCUAGUAUUGGCCGGCCAGAGGUGAAAUUCUUGGAUUCGGUCAAGACUAACUUAUGCGAAAGCAUU